RNAcentral lists this ribosomal RNA (402 nucleotides) under uncultured bacterium. RNAcentral's name for it is "bacterial SSU rRNA". It matches the Rfam family "Bacterial small subunit ribosomal RNA", at positions 357 to 776 of the family's 1533-position model. The record is from RNAcentral.
GGGAAUAUUGCGCAAUGGAGGAAACUCUGACGCAGUGACGCCGCGUAUAGGAAGAAGGUUUUCGGAUUGUAAACUAUUGUCGUGAGGGAAGAAAUUGACAGUACCUGAAGAAGAAGCCCCGGCUAACUACGUGCCAGGAGCCGCGGUAAUACGUAGGGGGCAAGCGUUAUCCGGAUUUACUGGGUGUAAAGGGAGCGUAGACGGCGGGGCAAGUCUGGAGUGAAAGGCCGGGGCCCAACCCCGGGACCGCUCUGGAAACUGCCCGGCUGGAGUGCGGGAGAGGUAAGCGGAAUUCCUAGUGUAGCGGUGAAAUGCGUAGAUAUUAGGAGGAACACCAGCGGCGAAGGCGGCUUACUGGACCGUGACUGACGUUGAGGCUCGAAAGCGUGGGGAGCAAACAGG